UGACAAGAAACAAUUAUAUUCUUGAGAAGAAAAAUUCCUGUUCCUUUAAACAAAUUUUCUUCGAUAUAUCUAACAUUUCUUUGCACGCAUGUCAUCGCAGGAUUUUGUUGUUGCAAUGCAUAUUUCUUUGCGACAGUUAACUAUCUUUCUCAGAGUAUUAAUUUUAUUUAUUAAUCGUUUAUUUAUAUGGGUGGUAGCUCACUGUUGAAUCUAGAUUCAUCGUAAAUGUUCUCAACUAUAAAACCUUCCUCACGAGGCAAAGAAUCUUGGAACUGGGAAAACCAUAUAAUCAAUAUUCAAAAGAAAAUAUGUAUCUGGGAGAUGCCCUUGCUGUCAACGCGUUUAACCAACGCAAAUUAAAUUUAAUAUCUAUAUUAGCAGGAAUAAUUGACUGGCCGUAUUAUCUCCCCGAAAUGCCUGAUUCCAUGCAAUACGGUGCUCUCGGUGCAACAAUUGGACAUGAACUAUCCCAUGCUUUCGAUACUGAUGGUGUUCAUAUGGAUUAUUUAGGCGAAAGGGCGCAAAUAUGGUCCCCAGAAGCUUAUCGGACAUUUGAGUCUAAGGCUCAUUGUUUCAUUGAUCAGUUUAAUGCAUAUCAAUACACAGAAUUGGAGGUUCUUGGUCGAGUAGAAUUCGCCAACGGGGCCACAACGUGUGAUGAAAAUAUGGCAGAUAGUGCAGGAGUUAUAGCGAGCUUUGAAGCUUUCAAAAGAAGCUCGAGGAAACGCGAGAAAGGCUUUAAAACUCUCCACGGACUGCAGAACUUCACCAGCGAGCAAUUGUUCUUCCUGGCAUUCGCAAAUGUGAGAUGCGCAUUUACGUCGCCAUAUUAUCUGUCCUAUCUCAUACAAUUUCGUCAGUCUCACAGUUUUCCGCGAUUGAGAGUUAUUGGAUCUUUGUCGAAUAUGAAAGAAUUCAGCGAAGCGUUUAAAUGCCCGAAAGGAAGUCCCAUGAAUCCAGAUACGAAAUGUGUUUUAUGGAAUUAGUGCGAAGAAUUCCUGGAAGAAAAAUCAGAAAUUGGCUUCUUUAUGCCGUCUGAAAGAUUUGAGAUAAGAGACCUUUUUCAUGAGCCUCGAAUUGUAAGUACUUCUGCAUCUUCUCUCUCUGUUUCGAAUAAUUGAAAGAUUGUAUUUUCCAGUAUAGUGUUCACUUAAUUCAUUAUUACAUUAACUUUGAAGCCAAAACCAGGAUGCACAGUUUCUCAAAUAAAUCCUCGGAAAAUUCCUUCGGCGAUAAAUUUUGAUCCACUCAUAGGCUAGAUGUCCGAACAUGAUGCUUAAUAUGUAUGUAUAUAAAAUGGAAUAAAAUUGAGGGAUAAUGUGAAGAAAAUUCAAACUCUGAAAAUAAAGACCACCCUAAGGCGACAGCGAACAGUUUUUUUAGGAAGAAUUGGCCUGCUGAGAACGGGCGUCAAUGGCCGCGUGAAUCCGCCGCACAUCGUGACAUACUUUUUCGUAUUUUACUCGGAAAUAGUCAGUCAUACGAGAAAAUAUCGUAGAUAAUAAAACAUGCAUUUCUAUCAAGUCUACAUCUUUUGUAUGAACCUUGUUUGCAUAUAACUAAUAUUUUCCAAGAUAAACCAAUGAAAUUGAUUUUUCAUUUAACUUCAUGGCUUUUCCAUGUUCAAGGACACAGAGGCAGCCUGUGCCUUUAUCCGAUUGAGUUCAAACUUUGCAGGAAUUAUUUUUACAUAAAACGGAACCAAACAAGAGGAUAAUGUGAAGAAAAUUCAAACUUUGAAA
This 1742-nucleotide unclassified non-coding RNA is filed under the name Orussus abietinus. RNAcentral describes it as "endothelin-converting enzyme 1, transcript variant X1". The record is from RNAcentral. Lineage: Eukaryota; Metazoa; Arthropoda; Insecta; Hymenoptera; Orussidae.